RNAcentral lists this long non-coding RNA (231 nucleotides) under Elaeis guineensis (African oil palm). RNAcentral describes it as "long non-coding RNA (EGUI_LNC012660)". The record is from RNAcentral. Lineage: Eukaryota; Viridiplantae; Streptophyta; Magnoliopsida; Arecales; Arecaceae.
AUUCUCUUCGAGGUAGACUAGCUCCUCAAUGUCAGUCAGAUAUUUCGAAGAUUCUCUACCCAAGCUAUUGUUAAGUUGGUUGUACCUCUGAUCUUCCUCCAAGAAUGCAAGACAACCUCCUCUAAGUCUGGUUCUUUAAGCCACCAAGAUUCAAAUCUGAAAAUUUUUGAGCAUGUAAACUUUAAGUUAUAUUUCCAUGCAAUCAAUGUAUGAUUUGAAGCAGGAUUUGCC